GGCUAGAUGGCCGAGUGGUUAUGGCGUGUGACUCAAGCUAUGUGCUUAGUCUGUUCAACAGAUUUAAUUUCUCAUGGGGAAACCCGCGGGGGUUCGAAUCCCCCUCUAGUCA
Molecule: transfer RNA, 112 nt
Filed under: Erysiphe necator (grape powdery mildew)
Lineage: Eukaryota; Fungi; Ascomycota; Leotiomycetes; Helotiales; Erysiphaceae
Rfam family: tRNA
About the family: Transfer RNA (tRNA) molecules are approximately 80 nucleotides in length. Their secondary structure includes four short double-helical elements and three loops (D, anti-codon, and T loops). Further hydrogen bonds mediate the characteristic L-shaped molecular structure. tRNAs have two regions of fundamental functional importance: the anti-codon, which is responsible for specific mRNA codon recognition, and the 3' end, to which the tRNAs corresponding amino acid is attached (by aminoacyl-tRNA synthetases). tRNAs cope with the degeneracy of the genetic code in two manners: having more than one tRNA (with a specific anti-codon) for a particular amino acid; and 'wobble' base-pairing, i.e. permitting non-standard base-pairing at the 3rd anti-codon position.
Source: Rfam by way of RNAcentral